This 783-nucleotide ribosomal RNA is filed under the name uncultured bacterium. Its description in RNAcentral is "partial 16S ribosomal RNA". The record is from RNAcentral.
AAACUAAGUUUCCAACGUCUAGCACACAUCGUUUACGGCAUGAACUACGAGGGUAUCUAAUCCUCUUCGCUACCCAUGCUUUCGUUCCUCAGUGUCAGUAAUGAUCCAGAAAGUUGCCUUCGCUUUUGAUGUUCUUUCUAAUAUCUACGAAUUUCACCUCUACACUAGAAAUUCCACUUUCCUCUAUCAUACUCUAGCUAAAAAGUUUUGAUGGCAGUUCCAAGGUUGAGCCUUGGGAUUUCACCAUCAACUUUUUUAACCACCUACGAACUCUUUAAGCCCAGUAAUUCCGAACUACGCUAGGUCCCUUCGUAUUACCGCGGCUGCUGGCACGAAGUUAGCCGGACCUUCUUAUUCGGGUACAGUCAUUUUCUUCCCCGACGAAAGAGUUUUACAACCCAAAGGCCUUCUUCACUCACGCGGCAUCGCUGCAUCAGGGUUUCCCCCAUUGUGCAAGAUUCCCCACUGCUGCCUCCCGUAGGAGUUUGGGCCGUGUCUCAGUCCCAAUGUGGCUGGUCUUCCUCUAAGAACAGCUAUUGAUCGUUGCCUUGGUAAGCUCUUACCUUACCAACUAGCUAAUCAAGGGCGGGCUCAUCUUUGGGCAUUAAAACUUUCCCUGGGAAGGCUUAUCCGGUAUUAGCAUAAGUUUCCUCGUGUUAUUCCAGACCAAAAGGCAGAUUCCCACAUUAUACUCACCCGUUUGCCACUCAGUAUUGCUACUGCGUUGGACUUGCAUGUGUUAGGCGUGCCGCCAGCGUACGUUCUGAGCCAGGAUCAAACUCU